CCCCGUUAAUACCUGGUUCCAACAUGCUGUUGUCCUGAUCUUGUCCACAUUCUGAUUGUGCACAUAUUUGUUGACAGGUGUAGACAGUCAAAAAAUGCAUUGUGAUCUGACUAUGAUUAGAUCUUCCUGACCACAUCCAGAGGUAGUCGAAGACGCAUCUUGUAUGGAUAUCCUUGACGUGUAAACGAAUCCUGACAACCAAAGCACAACAUUUGGCUAACGUCACGGUUGUCCAGCCUUCUCAACAACAAAAAAUCACGCUGGCCAGUUGAGGGACGGGAGAGAUUCUCUGAUUAUUUAUUUGAAUGGUGGUGGACAGGUCGCGGUUAUCCGGACAGGAGCCUAUUACGCCCUGUCUUAAAUCGCUGGAUAACAAAGUUGUCCUUCCUCUGUGUGACUGUGAGUGAGUUGGCUCAGCCCCUCCCUCAGCCCUUCCUCACACAUCUUUGGUUGAUACUGCGUGUCUGAUUGACAGGAACAACCAGAUUCGGCUCUUCUGAUAUGCGAACAAGCUCCCAACGUUCACCUACAAGAGCCGGCUCUUAGAGCCAACUCGUUCGCGAACGACCCAUCACUACUGAGGAAAGAAAGAAAGAAAGGGAGAGAGAUGCUUUUGUGAAGCGGGAAAACAUUUUAUGUACUAAAAAUCGUUUUUCCCCGAAUUGGGUUGAACUGCACUGUUGUUCUGCCCCUGAACAAGGCACUGUUCUUAGGCCGUCAUUGUAAAUAAGAAUUUGUUCUUAACUGACUUGCCUAGUUAAAUAAAGGUUAAAAAUAAGUUUGGACUUGGACAUUACAUGGAAGGUAAUGACUGGAGAACCUAAAGCGAGAACAGGAGAAGAAAAAUAAACUGAGUCCACUGAAGAAACAAAUAAAACUGAAGAAGCAACAGAAGCAACUGAAGCUGAGGAAACAUAUAGAACAAAUGAGGAUGAAACAAAUGAGGUUAAGAAAUAAGAAAUCUGAUUCAGUUGAAGACAACUCAGAAGAAAUGAAGGAAGCAGAAGCAGAGAUAAGAUGAUCUCUAAGAACUAAGAAAGCUCCUACACUGCUGACCUAUGACACACCUGGAGUUCCUAGUGUGGUGUCUGUUCCUAUAGUGAGAUAUAUCACUUCUAUAUACAAGUGGAUUGGGUAGUAUUAUGUGUGUGAAUGUAUAUUUUGUAAACAUUUAAUCAGAUUGGUUUUAUUUUUUAUAAAUUACGUUUUACUACAGCCUUCGCUGUUGGCCUAUGUUGGUUAAAUUAUUAUGUACUGUUACUUGAAAUAUGUUGGGACAGUUUUUGUUCACCUGAAGGGUGUGUGAUCAUUUGGGCCAAUCAAGAUGGACUAUGGGUGGUGUGCAGAUGGUUUUGCAGGUUUUCCAUUGUUGCCGAGGAGAGAAACAAAAGGGAGAGAGAUGCUCUUGUGAAGCGGGAUAACAUUUUAUGUACGAAGAAUCGUUUUUUCCCCUGAAUUGGGUUGAACUGCACUCUACUUUACUCAACUAAACAUAUAAUAUGUAUUGUUUAAUAUUUUAGAGAGAUAGUUGUCUCAAUUCCCUUGCUGCUUGGCUGGAUUAACGAAGGUUCCAGACACUUCGGGAGCUAGGUUGGAUUCGUCGGAGCGGGAGUUGGAGAGGACUGUUUGUUCUGAGGGAGUUUGAGGGCUGUGUAUUAUUCAUCACUCAUUAUUACAUCCAGGGAUGUGUCUAACUCGAUUUCUGAUGCUACUGUGUCUGCUUCUUCCUCUCCAUCUAUAUCCUCUGAUUCUCGCCUCUCCUUCAGUAGUCUUACUAUCCUUCUCUUCCUUUUCAAUCACUUCCUCCUCCUCCUCUUCUACUCCUUCCAUCCCCUCAUCCAUCUCUCUCCUCUUCCACCACACACAUCCCUCCCCUCUCCUGUAGUACCUCAUUCGCCUCCCCCCCUCUGCAGUGAUGGCGGCAUGUCUCCUCUUUUUCUUUCUUCUCAACUACCACUUUAAUUCCUUGCCUCUCCUCCUCUUCCUCGACCUCUGUAAGCUCCGUUUCCAGUUUUCUCAGCUCCAGGGGGUCUCAGGCUGUGCAGGCAAGGGCCUGGAUCGGGGCAGAGGGGGCAGACUGGCCUGAGGAAGAGAGAGGGUCCGGGAUGGGACAGAGGGAGUCCAUGGAGGUGUGAAGAAGGGGGUUUGGGGAGGGGAAGGGGCCUGAGAGGACAUGGAGAGGGGAAUUUUAGGCUCCACACAAGAUGGUUGUUGCGGAUGGAUGGAAUUAGAGGAUUUGGAAGAAGAGCUGGGAGAGACCAUUGUUGGACUACGGGGGUGACUGGGUUUCUGGCUGAAAGAACAGACCAUUGUUGGGCUAUGGGGGAAGGUGGGAGUGGAGGGUUCUGACUUCCUGAAUAUGAAAGAGUUGUCUGUUAGGGUCCGUUGGUAUCGUCUGAAUGUAGGCCUCACUACGAAGAGAAUGAAAAAUACACAAAUAUACACAUCAGGUAGAAUACAUUUGCAUUAAAAUAACAUGAAGGCCUAAACAUGGAUACAAACAAAGAAAGUGGAUGGAAUAUUGCUGGAAAUACCAAUAAAGAGAAUAGUAUGCAUGAUAUUCAAUAACAGCAUAUUGUAUCUUGAGAUCAAUAAACACACUCAUGCGCAC
RNAcentral lists this long non-coding RNA (2611 nucleotides) under Salmo salar (Atlantic salmon). RNAcentral describes it as "lncRNA (ENSSSAG00000105387.1)". Lineage: Eukaryota; Metazoa; Chordata; Actinopteri; Salmoniformes; Salmonidae. The record is from RNAcentral.